Molecule: ribosomal RNA, 443 nt
Filed under: Suezichthys gracilis
Lineage: Eukaryota; Metazoa; Chordata; Actinopteri; Labriformes; Labridae
Description: partial 12S rRNA
Rfam family: Bacterial small subunit ribosomal RNA
Source: RNAcentral
UUAAAACCCAAAGGACUUGGCGGUGCUUUAGAUCCACCUAGAGGAGCCUGUUCUAGAACCGAUAAUCCCCGUUAAACCUCACCUUUUCUUGUCUUAUCCGCCUAUAUACCGCCGUCGUCAGCUUACCCUGUGAAGACCCUAUAGUAAGCAAAAUCGGCACAGCCUAAAACGCCAGGUCGAGGUGUAGCGAAUGAAAAGGGAAGAAAUGGGCUACAUUCAAUAACCUUUAAUGAACACGAAUGGUAUUCUGAAAUGUAUACCUGAAGGAGGAUUUAGUAGUAAGCGGAGAAUAGAGUGCUCCACUGAAACUGGCCCUGAAGCGCGUACACACCGCCCGUCACUCUCCCCGAAAUAAACACAUAUCUAUUUCUAAUAAGCUAAAAACAAGAAGGGGAGGCAAGUCGUAACAUGGUAAGUGUACCGGAAGGUGCACUUGGAUAAAC